This 83-nucleotide transfer RNA is filed under the name Polyangiaceae bacterium. Its description in RNAcentral is "tRNA-Leu". It matches the Rfam family "tRNA". From Rfam's summary of the family: Transfer RNA (tRNA) molecules are approximately 80 nucleotides in length. Their secondary structure includes four short double-helical elements and three loops (D, anti-codon, and T loops). Lineage: Bacteria; Pseudomonadati; Myxococcota; Polyangiales; Polyangiaceae. The record is from RNAcentral.
GGCCCCUUGGCGGAAUGGCAGACGCAGGGGACUUAAAAUCCUCGGCUCGAGAGAGCGUCCCGGUUCGAGCCCGGGAGGGGCCA